UUUUUAGUAUGAGUAUGUCCCAUGCAAUAUUUAAGAUAUACUUACACUAAAA
Non-coding RNA from Pteropus alecto (black flying fox), 52 nucleotides. The record is from Rfam. Lineage: Eukaryota; Metazoa; Chordata; Mammalia; Chiroptera; Pteropodidae.